UGGAAUCGAACCUGGGACCCUUCAGUCCGCAGUCCGACGCUCUAUCCACUGAGCCAAACCAGCCAGGGCCUGGAGCCUUUUAAAAAUUAAUCCCUUCACAAAGUGCACUCCCUCCUCCAUCCUCACGUACCGAAGGAGCUUCGAUAGGACCGCCCUUGACUCGCCACAGCCAAACCUACAGCUGCUCCACCCUCCUUGACAGGAAAGACUAGGAACUCCCCGAGGGCAGGGACCCACUGCCAGCAUGCUGCCUGGAAUACAAAGCCCAUCCACCCCCUCAGAUUCCAGCCAAAGGUGAGGUAACCCCGCCCCAGGCUUUGCACCUUUUCCAAAAACCCUUCCUGGACGUCUCCAGACCCUGUGGACUCCUCGCUACCACCGGGUGGAGGGCUCCACCCCAGGUCAGGACUCCGCCUGCCUCCACCCAGGUCUACUACCAGGAUGGAAUCUGAGUAAAGGGGUUUGUUUGGGCUGUGGGUAACAAAGAUUAAAA
Molecule: long non-coding RNA, 493 nt
Organism: Myotis lucifugus (little brown bat)
Lineage: Eukaryota; Metazoa; Chordata; Mammalia; Chiroptera; Vespertilionidae
Exons: 3
Source: RefSeq, a predicted model, not a curated record